GAUGAACGCUGGCGGCGUGCUUAACACAUGCCAGUCGAACGGAAAGGCUCCUGCUUGCAGGGGUACUCGAGUGGCGAACGGGUAAGUAACACGUGGGUGAUCUGCCCUGCACUUCGGGAUAAGCCUGGGAAACUGGGUCUAAUACCGGAUAGGACCACAUUUUGGAUGGUGUGGUGGAAAGUUUUUCGGUGUGGGAUGAGCUCGCGGCCUAUCAGCUUGUUGGUGGGGUAAUGGCCUACCAAGGCGUCGACGGGUAGCCGGCCUGAGAGGGUGUACGGCCACAUUGGGACUGAGAUACGGCCCAGACUCCUACGGGAGGCAGCAGUGGGGAAUAUUGCACAAUGGGCGCAAGCCUGAUGCAGCGACGCCGCGUGGGGGAUGACGGCCUUCGGGUUGUAAACUCCUUUCGCUAGGGACGAAGCGUUUUUGUGACGGUACCUGGAGAAGAAGCACCGGCUAACUACGUG
Molecule: ribosomal RNA, 467 nt
Filed under: uncultured bacterium
Lineage: Bacteria
Description: partial 16S ribosomal RNA
Rfam family: Bacterial small subunit ribosomal RNA
Source: RNAcentral